CCAACCCUACCCAAAGAGAAAUCAAAUUUAUCCCUUUCCAUCCUUUUCUAUAUAAAACCUCCACCUCAUAAUUGAUUUUUCAUCACCUCCUCCUCUUUCUUCUUUCCCAUCUCUGGCGGCCAUUGCGUGAUCAUGCCGAGCACCGCCACCUCCCUAAAGCCGUAACCCUUGUUCUCUAAAACCCUAACAUACCUUGUUUUGGAAGAUCUUGAGCGAGAUACCACCGCUUCCUGCCGCCAGUUGCUGUCGCCACAACCGUCGC
Molecule: long non-coding RNA, 262 nt
Filed under: Elaeis guineensis (African oil palm)
Lineage: Eukaryota; Viridiplantae; Streptophyta; Magnoliopsida; Arecales; Arecaceae
Description: long non-coding RNA (EGUI_LNC024974)
Source: RNAcentral